This 400-nucleotide ribosomal RNA is filed under the name uncultured Chytridiomycetes. RNAcentral describes it as "partial small subunit ribosomal RNA". It matches the Rfam family "Eukaryotic small subunit ribosomal RNA", at positions 30 to 432 of the family's 1831-position model. Lineage: Eukaryota; Fungi; Chytridiomycota; Chytridiomycetes. The record is from RNAcentral.
GCUUGUCUCAAAGAUUAAGCCAUGCAUGUCUAAGUAUAAAUAGUAUACAGUGAAACUGCGAAUGGCUCAUUAAAACAGUUAUAGUUUAUUUGAUAAUUGAAAAUUACAUGGAUAACCGUGGUAAUUCUAGAGCUAAUACAUGCUAUCAAGCCCGACUUCUUGAAGGGUUGUAUUUAUUAGAUACAAAACCAACCCGGGCAACCGGUCCUUUGGUGAUUCAUGAUAACUUUGCGAAUCGCAUAGCUUUAAUGCUGGCGAUGGGUCAUUCAAAUUUCUGCCCUAUCAACUUUCGACGGUAGGAUAGAGGCCUACUGUGGUGAUAACGGGUAACGAAGAAUAAGGGUUCGAUUUCGGAGAGGGAGCCUGAGAAACGGCUACCACAUCCAAGGAAGGCAGCAGG